AAAAUUGCAAACACCCUAAACCUUGUGAACGUUACCCUUAACCGUUGCUUCGGCGGGCGGCGCCAUGCCGCCCCUCGGCCCUUCCCGGGCGCCCGCCGGAGGAUACCCAACUCUUGAUAUUUUAUGGCCACUCUGAGUCUUCUGUACUGAAUAAGUCAAAACUUUCAACAACGGAUCUCUUGGUUCUGGCAUCGAUGAAGAACGCAGCGAAAUGCGAUAAGUAAUGUGAAUUGCAGAAUUCAGUGAAUCAUCGAAUCUUUGAACGCACAUUGCGCCCGCCAGUAUUCUGGCGGGCAUGCCUGUUCGAGCGUCAUUUCAACCAUCAAGCCCCCGGCUUGUGUUGGGGACCUGCGGCUGCCCGCAGGCCCUGAAAAACAGUGGCGGGCUCGCUGUCACACCGAGCGUAGUAACAUCAUUCUCGCUCAGGGCGUGCUGCGGGUUCCGGCCGUUAAACGACCUUCAUAACCCAAGGUUGACCUCGGAUCAGGUAGGAAGACCCGCUGAACUUAAACCAUAUCAAUAAGGCGGAGGGAA
Molecule: ribosomal RNA, 534 nt
Filed under: Amesomyces atrobrunneus
Lineage: Eukaryota; Fungi; Ascomycota; Sordariomycetes; Sordariales; Chaetomiaceae
Description: eukaryotic LSU rRNA
Rfam family: 5.8S ribosomal RNA (bases 160-313)
Source: RNAcentral